This 240-nucleotide unclassified non-coding RNA is filed under the name soil metagenome. Its description in RNAcentral is "partial contains 5.8S ribosomal RNA, internal transcribed spacer 2, and large subunit ribosomal RNA". The record is from RNAcentral.
AACGCACGAGACCUGCGGACCUGCGGAAGGAUCAUUAUAGAGUGGUAAACCUCCCGUAAAAGGGGGGGACCUCCUGUCCUUUGUAGGCUCUUUUUUAAAAGGGCUUUUUUUAAUUUUCUGCUUCGGUGGGGUUAUCCCACCGGAACAACCUCAAAACUCUCAUCACAAAAUCGUUCUGUCUGAGAACCUUUUAUAAUAAAAAAAAACUUUCAACAACGGAUCUCUAGAUCGGAAGAGCAC